RNAcentral lists this ribosomal RNA (397 nucleotides) under uncultured bacterium. RNAcentral describes it as "bacterial SSU rRNA". It matches the Rfam family "Bacterial small subunit ribosomal RNA", at positions 358 to 772 of the family's 1533-position model. The record is from RNAcentral.
GGAAUAUUGGACAAUGGGCGAAAGCCUGAUCCAGCAAUGCCGCGUGAGUGAUGAAGGCCCUAGGGUUGUAAAGCUCUUUUACCCGGGAUGAUAAUGACAGUACCGGGAGAAUAAGCCCCGGCUAACUCCGUGCCAGCAGCCGCGGUAAUACGGAGGGGGCUAGCGUUGUUCGGAAUUACUGGGCGUAAAGGGUUCGUAGGUGGCCUGCUAAGUCAGAUGUGAAAUCCCUCGGCUCAACUGAGGAACUGCAUCUGAGACUGGAAGGCUUGAGUGCAGGAGAGGAACGCGGAAUUCCAGGUGUAGCGGUGAAAUGCGUAGAUAUCUGGAGGAACACCGGUGGCGAAGGCGGCGUUCUGGACUGCAACUGACACUGAUGAACGAAAGCCAGGGGAGCAAA